ACUCAUACGGGAGGCAGCAGUGGGGAAUAUUGGACAAUGGGGGCUACCCAUGAUCCAGCAAUGCCGCGUGUGUGAAGAAGGCCUGCGGGUUGUAAAGCACUUUCAGCAGGGAAGAAAAGCCUGGGGUUAAUACCCCCGGGUCUUGACGUUACCUGCACAAGAAGCACCGGCUAACUCCGUGCCAGCAGCCGCGGUAAUACGGAGGGUGCAAGCGUUAAUCGGAAUUACUGGGCGUAAAGCGCACGUAGGCGGUCGAGUAAGUCGGAUGUGUAAAGCCCCGGGCUUAACCUGGGAAUUGCAUUCGAUACUGCCUGACUGGAGUAUGGGAGAGGAAAGCGGAAUUUCCGGUGUAGCGGUGAUAUGCGUAGAUAUCGGAAGGAACAUCAAUGGCGAAGGCAGCUUUCUGGCCCAAUACUGACGCUGAGGUGCGAAAGCGUGGGGAUCAAACAGGAUUAGAUACCCUGGUAGUCCACGCUGUAAACGAUGAGAACUAGAUGUUGGGAGGGUUUAGCCUCUCAGUGUCGCAGCUAACGCACAUAAGUUCUCCGCCUGGGGAGUAC
This 560-nucleotide ribosomal RNA is filed under the name uncultured bacterium. Its description in RNAcentral is "bacterial SSU rRNA". It matches the Rfam family "Bacterial small subunit ribosomal RNA", at positions 335 to 883 of the family's 1533-position model. The record is from RNAcentral.